AUAACCUAAUCAAAAGAUGUCACCAAUACCAAGCACCAAUGUAGGAGAUAAACAAUGUGCAAGUGUCCAAUGAGUUAAUGAAAGCUCAUGAUGCCAUAUUUUGUGAUGAAUUACUUACUAAACAGUCCUACUAAGAAAAAUGUGAAUAAUAUUAUUUUAUCUUGUCUGUUUUAUUUAGUCGGCAAGACCAUCCAUGGACUCAUUACCGGAGGACGUCGUGAGGCGUUGGCAGAGCAGCAAGAGCUGGAACGUGCAUUUGACCGAGAGCGAGCUUUUAACUGAGCCUAUGACGGUCCAUCUGAAAGAGCAACUCUGAAACUUUGUCUGAAAAGAAAUGCUUCUUGUUCUUCAUCGUGAAAAAAUAUUGAAUAGACUCACUGGGCUAAAAUAUUUUUUACAUUUAUUUUAAAUAAUGUCAUUUGAAUUAAAUCCUCAAACUGUAAUUUGCCAAAAAUAUUUCUCACUUGUAUUAUUUAAAUGAAAGAAUCUGAAUAAAUUCAAAUGCAAAUGA
Molecule: long non-coding RNA, 511 nt
Organism: Anarrhichthys ocellatus (wolf-eel)
Lineage: Eukaryota; Metazoa; Chordata; Actinopteri; Perciformes; Anarhichadidae
Exons: 2
Source: RefSeq, a predicted model, not a curated record